Ictidomys tridecemlineatus (thirteen-lined ground squirrel) is the source of this 4210-nucleotide non-coding RNA. The record is from RefSeq and is a predicted model, not a curated record. NCBI's taxonomy places the organism in Eukaryota, Metazoa, Chordata, Mammalia, Rodentia, Sciuridae.
CCCAGGCAUGCCUCCAAUUUAUGAUCCUCCUGCCUCAGCCUCAGGAGUUGCUGGGAUUACGGGCAUGUGCCACUGCAUCCAGUUUUAAUUUUGCUUUAUAUAUAAGUGUGUACAAGUUUAAAAUUGCACCUUUUAUCAUUAUAACGUAAGUCACUUUAUUUCAUAUAAUGUUCUCUUUCUUUUUCCCUCUUUUUGGUGGUACCUGGGAUUGAACCCAGGGCUUUGUGCAUGCUAGGCAAUCAUGUAGGUCAUUUUUUGUUUUUGCCUUCAAGAUUGUUCAACUUUAUGCUCCUGUUUUUAACUUUGAGUUAGUUCUUUGAUAUGUGGGAAUUUCCCUGUAUUUCUGCUGAACCCUGUUAUACAUUGAGCCUUCCCUUGCCCGUGUGUUUGGACUCGUGUGUGUGUGUGUGUGUGUGUGUGUGUGUGUGUGUGUGUGUGUGUGUAGGGGGGUCAUGUAUUACUGGAGCCUGCCUGCUUCAGGACUCUCUGGCUCUAUAGCCCUUAGGGCCUUCAGAGCAUCUCUUUUCGUCAUGAUCUUUAACCUUCCUCUCCUAUCACUGGCUGCUUUGUUUUCAUAACCUCAUCCCAAUUCCCCAACAAGGGACCCUUAUUUGGCCUAGGUUAUCAUUUUGCUCUGUAGUCUACCACUGGAGACUUUUUCCACCUACAAGUUGGUUACUUUGGGAACAGGUGCCCAUCCCUAAUCCCUCAAUCCAAUUGGGUCUGUGUGCUGGGCAGUUUCACUUGCAGAGGGCCAUGGGGGACAAAACAGCUCAUUUGGCCCUUCUGUCUUGUGGGCUGUGGUUAGUGGAGCUAUUCCUGUGUUUGGCUGUUGGUCUCUGUAGCAAGAAGUGUUCUGUCCAGGAUCUGCUGUUGCAUGGCACUGUGACAUGGUGCCCCGUUGCAUUUGCAGAGAUUCAUUGUUUUUAUUGGGUCUAGAAUCCAAGGUGUUUUUGCUUCCAAGGAGGGCAUGGGAUUCAGGCUUACUGUGCUCCACUCUGUCAAUCUCUCUCUCCUCUCAAGCCAGCUAAGUGCUUAUUAUUAGGAACCCCCCCUCCUGCCGCCCCGCCUGACUUGAGUCACCUGCCCCCAAAUUCCUUUUAUCAUAGAAGGAGUCUAUGAGGUCUUGUUGGAAAAUACUUCUGAAAUUGGCUGUUGGGCAAAGUCUUAUAGAGCAGAGCAUGAAAAACAGGCUCUUAUGAUUUUAUUUUUUUAUGGAACACAAGCCUUGCCUGUCUGGGUAUAUAGUCUUUUUGUAGCUAUUCUCAUCUUUGUUUUUCUUUUCUCUUUUUUUUUUCUCCCACAUUUUUGCUAUUCUCAUCUUGGGAAUUUGUUUUUAAUUUGGUUAUCAUCAGCCAAAUAUGGAGAAAUGUUCCCGCUUGAUAUUUUGAGGACUUAUUGUUUGAGUCCAGUGUAAGAACAUCUGGGAACAAGUGUUGGGUAUUCACCUCAUUUACCCAUGCGUCCGUAUCCUUGGGGACUAGCAUGGGAAGUUCUUUAAACUUAGUGUUUUGAUUUAGAUUCCCUAAACCAUACAGUGAUAGUCUUUCCAAACCGGAAGGAAUCAAGGGAAUCGCCUCAUUUUAUGAUGACAUCACUGAGCUCCAGAGAGGGCCAGGGACCUUCUCAAAGUCUCAUCAUACCAGCUGAUGGCAGAGCUGGGACAAGGACCUCAUAGGUCUCUUGACCUUCUCAGCCCUGGCCCUUUUCCCUCUCAAAGGUAUAGCACUAAAUCAUGCUUGGAGUUUCAAUAUUGUUUUGUCAGAGCUGAUUUAGAAUCUACAGUGACAGAAAUGUCUGGACAUUAAAGCGUAGGCAGAGCUGUGGUCCCUUGAUGUGUAAUUGUAGACAGGGGUAAAUGACUUGAGCAGGAGGCAGGAUUUGUUCUCAGGGACUUAGGGCUGGGGGGGUGGAUUAUAAAUGCUGCUAUAAGCCUUGUGUUGUCUUACCCAGUUCAGAAUAAGGAAAUGCUAUUCCACAUUUCGUUUUUUAAGUUUCCUUUAUUUAUUUAUUUUUUGCUGUGGUGCUGGGGAUGAAACCCAGGGCCUCGCACACACUAGGCCAGUGCUCUGCCGCUGAGCCACGUCCCCAGUCCACAUUUUUUUUUUAAAUAUUAUGGGUUUGCAUUUUCCUUUCUUUCUUCAGACCAUCUCCUGCCUUCUUUCCUUCUUCUCCCGUUUUCUUAUAUACCAUUAACCCCUCGUUUCUGUCAUCUUUGUUUCUCUCCCUACUAACCUCUGACAUAAAGUAUUAAUUUUUGGCGUUUUUUUUCCCCUUUCUUUGAAGUGCUCCUUCUGGCUACAAAAACUUCCAAUUAAGUUUUUUAAAUAAAAGAUAGAAGUUAAAAGCAACUGCUGCCUGGGGUUAGCAGGAUGGAAACUUGUAGUUGCUUGAAGCUGUACUUCAAAAAGAGAAAACUCAAUUUUAAAAGUGUAGAGGUUUAUUCGUAAAAUACAUUGUGUUCAAAAAAAAUGACUGUGGAUACUCUAGGCUGGGGAGGAGUGAAACGGUGGGUCACUUGUUCUAUUGUAUUUAUUUAUGGAAUAUCCCUUUUUCUAUCUAAUAUUUAAGGGGAAAUUUUGAGCAUGUGGAUUCUUGUUUAUUCUGUAAAUAAACUUUAAUUAAUUUAAUAUUGACAUUCUUAUUUAUUUAUUGUUUUUCUGGGAUGGGAUCCAACCCAGGGCAUUACACCUUCUGGAAAGUGUCGCUGUACCACCGAGUGACCUGAAAUGCUGAUCACAGGUUGUCACUCUUAAGUGGAUCAUGAGGUCUAAAUUUAGAGGCUCAUUUUAAAAGGAGAAAAUAGAAAUAAAAAUACAGGGAAAUAUUAAGGUAAGUAUUGUUUCUUGAAUCUUUAUGCAGCAACCCUCUCCUUAUUCGUGGUUUUGCUUUCCGUGGUUUCAUUGGCUAUGGUGAACUGUGGUCAAAAAAAUAUUAAGUGAAAAAUUUCAGAAAUAACAAGCUAGAAAAUGUGUCAAUCUGAGAAGAGCGAUGAAAUCUCUUGUGGUCUUGCUUUGCCUACCUGAAAUGUGAGUCAUCCCUUUGUCCAGUGUAUUCACACUGUAUAUGCUACCCACCUGUUAAUAUUUAGCAACUGUCUGGGGUAUGAGAUUGACUGUUGCAUUUACUUAGUAGUGUCCUUAAAGUGCAAGAGUACAGAUACUGGCUAUUUUAUUACAAUAUAUUCUCAUAUUGUUUUCAUUAUGUUAUUAAUUAUUAAUUUCUUAACUAUGCCUAACAUAAGCUCUAUCAUAAGUAUAAGAAAAUGUACAAUAUAUUUAGUGUACCUAUGGUUUCAGGCAUCCACAGAUAGACGUUGAAAUCUAUCCACUGAGGAUAGGGGAGGAUUACUGUAUCUGUACACACACACACACAUACACACCUUGGGACAUGAUACAAAACAUAUCUCUCAUCAGGGAUGGAAGUGAAAAAGAUCUGAGAAGCAGUCAGUCUUAAAGGGUGGGGAGUGUCGGCUCUGUGCCAUAUCCUCCCUUCUGGAAUACUUCUUUCCUGUGCUCCGCAGGUCCCAUGGAUACUUUCUGAGGUCUGUGACUAUCUUUUCCUUGUUUCUUAUCUGUGCUGACCUCUGGAGUGCCAAGCCUGUUCAACUCUCUCCAGUUAGGCCACUCUCCUUGCUCCUGUGGAUGACUGCCUGCUUAGGACAUGGGAGGAAUUAGAGGAUUCAGCUAGGAGAAAGGUGGGCUUCUUCUAAUCAGUCAAAGGCCUGAAUGGAACAAAAAGACUGACCUCCUCCAAGCAAGAAGGAAUUCAAGGUGUAUGGUUUUGGUACCUGAACGGCAGCAUUGGCUCUUUCUUGGAUCACCAGCCUCAUGACCUUUGAACUUCAAUUGUAGCAUCAGGUCUUCUCUGGGGCUCCAGCCUGCUAGCCCACCCUGAAUUAUUAUUAUUAUUUUUUUUUUUGAGUCACUUUUGUCAUUUAUAUUUUUCCACCUUUUUAAAACUGGUGCAUUAUAGUUGUAUAUUUUGAUGGGAUUUGUUGUUAUGUAUUCAAUAUAUGUAAUAUAACAAUAUAAUUUGGUAACAUCACUCCCCAACACUUUCCCCCACCUCCCCUACCUCCCAUCCCUUGGUUCCUUUCCUCUACUGAUCUCCCUUUGAUUUUCAUGGGAUCUAUCCUCACCUUUAUUUUUCUUUUUUCCUCUCUAGCUUCCUGAUAUGGAAGAAAACAUAAGCCCCUUGAACUCCCGAG